GAUUAAGAACGUAGCGAAAUGCGAUAAGUAAUGCGAAUUGCAGAAUUCAGUGAGUCAUCGAAUCUUUGAACGCACAUUGCGCCCUGUGGUAUUCCGCAGGGCAUGCCUGUUCGAGCGUCAUUUCAACCCUCAAGCUCUGCUUGGUGUUGGGCCCUGCCCGCUGCGGCCGGCCCUAAAGACAGUGGCGGUGCCGCCUGGCCCUGAGCGUAGUACAUCUCUCGCUCCAGUGCCCGGUGGUAGCCUGCCAGAACCCCAACUCUCGUGGUUGACCUCGGAUCAGGUAGGGAUACCCGCUGAACUUAAGCAUAUCAAUAAGCGGAGGA
This 323-nucleotide unclassified non-coding RNA is filed under the name soil metagenome. RNAcentral's name for it is "partial contains 5.8S ribosomal RNA, internal transcribed spacer 2, and large subunit ribosomal RNA". The stretch from base 1 to 120 matches the Rfam family "5.8S ribosomal RNA", at positions 35 to 154 of the family's 154-position model. The record is from RNAcentral.